AUUGAACGCUGGCGGCAUGCCUUACACAUGCAAGUCGAACGGUAACAGGUCUUCGGAUGCUGACGAGUGGCGAACGGGUGAGUAAUACAUCGGAACGUGCCUAGUAGUGGGGGAUAACUACUCGAAAGAGUGGCUAAUACCGCAUGAGAUCUACGGAUGAAAGCAGGGGAUCGCAAGACCUUGUGCUACUAGAGCGGCCGAUGGCAGAUUAGGUAGUUGGUGGGAUAAAAGCUUACCAAGCCGACGAUCGUUAGCUGGUAUGCGAUGACGAUCAGCGACACUGGAACUGGGAAACGGCACAGACUCCUACGGUAGGCAGCAGUGGGGAAUUUUGGACAAUGGGCGCAAGCCUGAUCCAGCGAUGCCGCGUUCAGGAUGAAGGCCUUCGGGUUGUAAACUGCUUUGUUACGGAACGAAAAGCCCCGGGUGAAUACCCUGGGGUCAUGACGGUACCGUAAGAAUAAGCACCGGCUAACUACGUGCCAGCAGCCGCCGUAA
Molecule: ribosomal RNA, 498 nt
Filed under: uncultured bacterium
Lineage: Bacteria
Description: partial 16S ribosomal RNA
Rfam family: Bacterial small subunit ribosomal RNA
Source: RNAcentral